Molecule: RNA transcript, 3905 nt
Organism: Exaiptasia diaphana
Lineage: Eukaryota; Metazoa; Cnidaria; Anthozoa; Actiniaria; Aiptasiidae
Gene name: symplekin
Exons: 39
Source: RefSeq, a predicted model, not a curated record
UCAAAAUGGCGGCUGGAGUUCGUGGCGAAGUGAAAAAUCUAACCCGGCUUUCUGAGGCUUCACAGUUCUUCAGCCAUGAAGAAACAGGAGAGGCAGAAACGACAGAUGUUCCUGUUGAAGUUACAACCGAGGAUUCAACAACAGAUAAGGUUAUUGAUCUCUUGAAUCAAGCACAACUUGAGAAAGAAGGGAAACUGAAUUGUUUGAAACAAGUCCAGGAAUUUAUUGUGCAAAAAGACCCAUCUCUUCUAGACAACUUUUUAGAUGAAAUUUUGGUAUUUCAACAAGACAAGUCUGCUGAUGUCAGAAAGUUUGUAGUUGGUUUCGUUGAAGAAGCUUGCAAAAAGGAUGUUGAACUUCUUGGGAAAGUUUUGGGAAACCUUGUGUUUAUGUUGAAUGAUGAAAAUGUUGCAGUUCAAAAGAGAGUCAUGUUAUGUUUUACACAAUUGUACAAGUAUGCUUUGCAGUAUAUAUGCAAGAAAAGAGUAAUAUCAGAAGAGCUUGAAAACAUGUGGGAGGUCCUUACAGAGAUUAAGAAUCAGAUCAUUUCAAUGUUGGACUCUGAUAAUGAUGGAAUUCGAACACAUGCCAUAAAGUUUAUGGAGAUGCUUGUUCUUGUUCAGUCUAACAAAACACAAGAUUCUGAGUCUACAAAGAAAGGUGAAACAGACAUUUCUCUUGAUGUCAUUCCACGAAACCAUCCUCUUGUCAGAAUGGCAGAGCUAAGAGAAGAAGGUGGUACAACACUAGAAGCUUUGCUGACUUUGAUAGCAUCACCAACAAUAUCAAGUGUAAACUUAAUGGCAUGUUUGGGUACUCUAUCAAAUAUUGCUCGACAGCGUCCAAUUUUUAUGUCAACUGUUGUACAAACUUUUGAAUCAUUACAUGCAAAUCUCCCUACUUCAUUGUCAAAAUCACAAGUUAGUAGUGUCAGGAAAAACCUUAAGCUACAUCUAAUGAAUCUUUUAAGACAUCCAUGUUCAAUUGAAUUUCUUCCUCAAAUUACCACCUUGCUAACUGACCUUGGAGCUUCACAGACAGAGCUCCAAAAAAACAUGCCUAAAACUACUUCAGAGUCAAUGAAAAGGAGGGCAGAAAAUGAAGCUUCAUCAGGGAACAAGAAAUCCAAGUUGACUGAUGCUGAUGAUCCAGACGUGAUAUCAAUGUCUACGGCAGAGGCGAUUGACGUGACUGCACAAGACCUCAUUCCUUUACUUGACAAAGAUAAUGUCACCAAUCUUGUUCUGAUAAGCAUGCUGUCACUUCCUGAUCAUAUCCCAACAAACUUUAGCGAUACAUACACUCCUAUUGCUGCUGCUGGUGGCCAAGCUCAGGUAGCUCACUUAGCAAGACUGCUUGCAUCUCAAAUGACUGCUGCUGGUGUUGGUGUUGGCUUUGAAAGAAUGGAUGCACUCAAGAAGGCACAAGACCCCCGUGUACGGUUAAAAGGUCAAAAUGAAUCCAACCAGUCUAUUCCUGUGAUUGGUUCAAGUUGGUCUGCUGAUGCCGAUGCAGAGUUUUCAGGGGAGAAAAAAGAUUCAGCAUUACAAAGAAUCCUGAGUGGACAAAUUGAUGUUUCAAAAGACAAAGUAAAACCAGAAGGCAAAAAAACUUUUCAACAUAAAGAAGCUCCAAUCCCUCCUUUGCGAAUGCGUAGGAUUAAAGCCUUUAAAUUAGCCGAGGUCACAAAAGACAUGAAUCACACAGAACAACAGAACAUGCUUAUGAGCACCAUUGAUAGGAUUAUCAAAGCUGAAAACAGUGCAACUAGGAGUGGAGUUACUCAGGAAAGAAUUAAACUUCUUGUUGGAUUGGCCAUUCAGUGUGAAGACCCUGCUAGACAAGAACUUCACAAUUAUAUCCAAGAAGACCCCAGAGCCCACUAUGACUUGAUACACACAUGGCUGUAUCAGGAGUAUUUGAUGCAGGAGGUUAAGAUGGAGGAAGGUUUUCCAGUAGAUAUGAUGUCAUAUGACCACUGCUUGUGUACAAUAUUAGAAGGAUUGCAACACCGCAUGGAUCCAAAGGACAAGUUGUUUACACGUGUUGUCCUUGAGGCUCCCCUUGUCACUGAAAGAGUUAUGGAAAUGGUAAAGCUACAUUGUGAAAAUAUAGAAACCCUCCAUGUUGGUUUUGCAACAUUAAGAGAUUUAAUCCUCAAGCGACCAGCUUCCCAACAUGAACACUUACAAACAUUACUUGAGCUGACUACUAACGAGAAGGAACAGGUCCGUGUGCAGGCCAUCCACUCUGCUAAAAAGCUACAUACUCGACCUGAUCUUGCUCUGGAUAUUGAGACAUUUGCAUUGUCCUCAUUGGAAUUACUAAUACAAGAAAAGCAACCUUCAGAGCCAGAUGAAGAACCAAAGGAGUGGACAGAUGAAAGCAUAAAAACUUGUUUAUAUUUAUAUCUAGCAUUAUUACCUCAAAAUCACAAACUAUUUCAUCAGUUGGCAAUUAUCUAUACUGCGUCAUCUCAAAUGAUUAAAAGAAUCAUACUUCGCCAUCUUGAAACACCAGUCCGUGCUAUUGGAAUGGCUUCUCCUGAGUUACUGCAGUUGGUAGAGAGCUGUCCUACUGGAUCUGAAACACUUAUCGCCAGAAUAUUAAACAUUAUCACAGAUAAAGCUGCUCCAUCACCUGAUCUCGUCAAACGAGUUAAAGAUCUUUAUCAUAAGCGCGUUGCCGAUGUACGAUUCCUGAUCCCUGUACUGACAGGACUUGAAAAACAGGAAAUCAUUGCUGUAUUGCCUAAACUCAUAAAACAAUCACCAAGCGUCGUGAAAGAAGUGUUUAAUAGACUGUUGGGAUGUUUUCAUAGUGAGGGAAAAGUGUCAGGCACCAGUCCUCUUAGUCCAUCAGAACUGUUAGUUGCUCUCCAUAUGAUUGAACCUUCAAAGAAAGCCAACACUCUUGAGUCUAAAGGAGACAUACGUUCUGUUAUGAAGGCCAUCAGGUUCUGUUUUGACGAGAAAACUAUUUAUACACAAGAAGUACUGGCUAUCGUCCUUCAGCAGCUGAUGGAAAUCAAUCCUCUCCCAACAUUGUUCAUGAGAACGGUAAUCCAGUCGCUUAGUAUUUGCCCAAGACUUAUCGGAUUCGUCAUGAGUUUGUUAUCAAAGCUCAUCACAAAGCAGGUGUGGAAGCAGCCUAAAGUCUGGCAAGGUUUCGUCAAAUGCUGUCAGAUGACCAAACCGCAGUCUUUCUCAGUUUUACUUCAGCUUCCACCGCGACAACUUGAAAGUGCUUUCGAGAUAUGCCCUGAACUUCGUGAUAAUGUUGUCAAUCACGUCCAGUCUUUCACUCCACAUCAGCGUGCGCAUAUUCCACGUUCAGUCCUUCAAAUUCUGGACAAAGAAAAGAAAACUGAAACAGAUCAAGCUGAUAAGGAGCAAGUUGACCCAAAACAAGAGACUGAAUCAAAAACCGAAGAAAUCCCGUCUUCACCAAAGAGAUCCCGAUCGAGCUCGAAGGAAAGGCGCAAGGAUCGUAAAAGAUCUCGCAGAUCUCGAUCCGGGUCUCCACAUUCCAAAAGAGAGCACACAGAAGAAGGGAGUGAAAGUGAAGGAGAGAUUGAAGACACUGAAUCAGAUACCCUGCACGUAAAAUAGACCUUCAUGGGUUCUUAUCAGUAUUUUAAGGUGAAAAAAGUUCAAGUUCCUCGUGUAAAUAGUUUUUGGUGUUUUUGCUUGUCCUCACAAGUUUUUUUAUGCAAAAUAGAAUCGAUGGAAACUUGCGCUCAUAUUUUCCCAUCUCAUUUCAUUUCACAUUUUACUUUUCAGUAAGUUUGACAGUUUGCAGUGUUUAAAAAUAGACGCAUCAGAUAUGUUAGUAUAUAUGGAUGAAAGGUUGGAUUGGGGGUCAUUAUUUACCGUCAGCCUUUCAGACAGUAAACGUCAUCAUUG